RNAcentral lists this ribosomal RNA (467 nucleotides) under uncultured bacterium. RNAcentral's name for it is "partial 16S ribosomal RNA". It matches the Rfam family "Bacterial small subunit ribosomal RNA", at positions 28 to 506 of the family's 1533-position model. The record is from RNAcentral.
GACGAACGCUGGCGGCGUGCUUAACACAUGCAAGUCGAACGGAAAGGCCCUGCUUUUGUGGGGUGCUCGAGUGGCGAACGGGUGAGUAACACGUGAGUAACCUGCCCUUGACUUUGGGAUAACUUCAGGAAACUGGGGCUAAUACCGGAUAGGAGCUCCUGCUGCAUGGUGGGGGUUGGAAAGUUUCGGCGGUUGGGGAUGGACUCGCGGCUUAUCAGCUUGUUGGUGGGGUAGUGGCUUACCAAGGCUUUGACGGGUAGCCGGCCUGAGAGGGUGACCGGCCACAUUGGGACUGAGAUACGGCCCAGACUCCUACGGGAGGCAGCAGUGGGGACUAGUGCACAAUGGGCGGAAGCCUGAUGCAGCAACGCCGCGUGCGGGAUGACGGCCUUCGGGUUGUAAACCGCUUUCGCCUGUGACGAAGCGUGAGUGACGGUAAUGGGGAAAGAAGCACCGGCUAACUACGU